GGAAGGAUCAUUAUCGAGAGCUUUGGCUCGUCGAAAAACGAGAGAGUUAAAAACGAUUGGGUCUACUGAUAGAUUCAUACGGUAAGCGCUUUGCGCGAAUCCGGUUCAGUAGACUAACAGAAUCAGACAUGCCGUAUCGCUUUGAUAGUGUAGUUGGUGAUAGCGAACCGCCAACGAGCUUUUGCACUAUCAUAGUGGUACACAGUCGUGAUCUGAUUCUCGCGACCAUGGGUUUCCGGUGGGUACCUACCUGGUAUAGUUCCGUGGCUUAUCACCCAGGCUGCGCGACCCAUGAACGAUACCAGUAAAUCGCCUUUUGGCGGUAGGUUUAAUGAGUUUCAGUGUUAUGGUAUGUGAAUAGUACCAAACGAUCGCUUGCGCACGGAAUAGUGUGCCACUGAAACCGCCCACCAACCUCCUUUUAAACUAUUUUAAUACAAAAAAUAGAUUUGGCUCGUCCAUUUCUAUAAAACACCAUUCUGAGCGGUGGAUCACUUGGCUCGUGGGUCGAUGAAGAACGCAGCUAGCUGCGUGAAUUAAUGUGAAUUGCAGACACAUUGAACAUCGACAUUUCGAACGCACAUUGCGGCUUUGGGCCAUCCCAAAGCUACGUCUGUCUGAGGGUCGCAUUUGUGACAGCAUAUGGUGUCUUACCCUGUAACGGAUCUGUUACACUGAUUCUAGACACCACAUUGGACUGCUGACGUUGUGAUUCGACGGGAGAUUUCCAUUACCGUCACUUCGACGUUACCAGUCUUGAGAAACUGACAAAGGCCAUACGACCCAUUUUAUGGCUAUAAUCGAACCCUUCGGUGCGACUCGACACUGGAGUCAGCUCUUGUUGCGUGAUUGUUUUGCGAUUAGAGCUAAAUAUAGUGUCAUUACCGAUUGUUGUUCCAAAUUCUCGACCUCAGAUCAGACGUGAGUACCCGCUGAAUUUAAGCAUAUUAUUAGGCGGAGGAAAAGAAACUAACGAGGAUUCCCAUAGUAACGGCGAGUGAACCGGGAAUAGCUCAGCGCUGAAUCUUGCAGUCCGAGACUGUCAAGAAAUGUAGCGUUUUGGUAAUCUUUUCUGGUGUCGUCAAGCUUUCUGAGUCCCCUUGAACGGGGCCACUGCCCAUAGCGGGUGCAAGGCCCAUUCGAAAGUAGACUUCACCAGUAUAAGGUAUACCAUAGAGUCGGGUUGCUUGAGAGUGCAGCUCAAAUGCGUGGUAAACUCCAUGCAAAGCUAAAUAUGACCACGAGACCGAUAGCAAACAAGUACCGUGAGGGAAAGUUGCAAAGAACUUUGAAGAGAGAGUUAAAAGGGCGUGAAACCGCUUGGAAGUAAACGGAUGGAGCUGCAAUGCAGUCUAUAGGAUUCAGUUUGUCGGACGUCCAUCGGAUUGUGAACGAUAAAGACUAAUCGAACCAUCUAGUAGCUGGUUCCCUC
Molecule: unclassified non-coding RNA, 1432 nt
Filed under: uncultured fungus
Lineage: Eukaryota; Fungi
Description: sequence contains 18S rRNA gene, ITS1, 5.8S rRNA gene, ITS2, 28S rRNA gene
Rfam family: Eukaryotic large subunit ribosomal RNA (bases 906-1432)
Source: RNAcentral